Molecule: long non-coding RNA, 112 nt
Organism: Sapajus apella (tufted capuchin)
Lineage: Eukaryota; Metazoa; Chordata; Mammalia; Primates; Cebidae
Exons: 3
Source: RefSeq, a predicted model, not a curated record
AUAAAGACAUACCCAAGAAUGGGUAAUUUAGAAAGAAAAAGAGGUUUAAUGGGCUCCCAGUUCCAAGUGGCAGGGAAGCUUCACAAUAAUGGCGGAAGGCAAGGAGGAGCAA